Molecule: ribosomal RNA, 374 nt
Filed under: uncultured fungus
Lineage: Eukaryota; Fungi
Description: eukaryotic LSU rRNA
Source: RNAcentral
UUGAAAGGGAAACGAUUGAAGUCAGUCGUACCGACGGAAAAUCAACUUCUCGGGUGCCAAUCGUGGGUGACGUUGAGCCUCACGGUCUUCGUUGCUUGUGUUGUCGGUGCCUUCGGGGUGUACUUUUUCGUAUGGUAGGUCAACAUCGAUUUUGAUCGUCAUAAAAUGAUCGGAGGAAUGUAGCUUUGAUUUCGAUCGAAGUGUUAUAGCCUUUGGUAGAUGUGACGAUUGGGAUCGAGGAUUGCAACGAAUACCCUUUGGGCUAUCCGUCUGACCUCUGAAAGUCGCUUGGGAGUCGAAAGCUUGCUUAUGACUAUUCAAGUUGGCGGUCAACAGGUUAGAACGCGAUUACAUUCGUUAAGGAUGUUGACGUA